RNAcentral lists this ribosomal RNA (468 nucleotides) under uncultured bacterium. RNAcentral's name for it is "bacterial SSU rRNA". It matches the Rfam family "Bacterial small subunit ribosomal RNA", at positions 28 to 523 of the family's 1533-position model. The record is from RNAcentral.
GAUGAACGCUGGCGGCGUGCCUAACACAUGCAAGUCGAGCGAUUUACUUCGGUAAAGAGCGGCGGACGGGUGAGUAACGCGUGGGUAACCUGCCCUGUACACACGGAUAACAUACCGAGAGGUAUGCUAAUACGAGAUAAUAUACUUUUAUCGCAUGGUAGAAGUAUCAAAGCUUUUGCGGUACAGGAUGGACCCGCGUCUGAUUAGCUAGUUGGUAAGGUAACGGCUUACCAAGGCGACGAUCAGUAGCCGACCUGAGAGGGUGAUCGGCCACAUUGGAACUGAGACACGGUCCAAACUCCUACGGGAGGCAGCAGUGGGGAAUAUUGCACAAUGGGCGAAAGCCUGAUGCAGCAACGCCGCGUGAGCGAUGAAGGCCUUCGGGUCGUAAAGCUCUGUCCUCAAGGAAGAUAAUGACGGUACUUGAGGAGGAAGCCCCGGCUAACUACGUGCCAGCAGCCGCGGUAA